This 471-nucleotide ribosomal RNA is filed under the name uncultured bacterium. RNAcentral's name for it is "bacterial SSU rRNA". It matches the Rfam family "Bacterial small subunit ribosomal RNA", at positions 335 to 803 of the family's 1533-position model. The record is from RNAcentral.
ACUCCUACGGGAGGCAGCAGUGGGGAAUAUUGCACAAUGGGGGAAACCCUGAUGCAGCCAUGCCGCGUGUGUGAAGAAGGCCUUCGGGUUGUAAAGCACUUUCAGUAGGGAGGAAGGUAGUGUAGUUAACACCUGCAUUAUUUGACGUUACCUACAGAAGAAGCACCGGCUAACUCCGUGCCAGCAGCCGCGGUAAUACGGAGGGUGCGAGCGUUAAUCGGAAUUACGUGGGCGUAAAGCGCAUGCAGGCGGCCUGUUAAGUCAGAUGUGAAAGCCCGGGGCUUAACCUCGGAAUUGCAUUUGAAACUGGCAGGCUAGAGUCUUGUAGAGGGGUAGAAUUUCAGGUGUAGCGGUGAAAUGCGUAGAGAUCUGAAGGAAUACCAGUGGCGAAGGCGGCCCCUGGACAAAGACUGACGCUCAGAUGCGAAAGCGUGGGAGCAAACAGGAUUAGAUACCCCUGGUAGCGACUGA